RNAcentral lists this ribosomal RNA (408 nucleotides) under Babesia canis canis. Its description in RNAcentral is "SSU rRNA". It matches the Rfam family "Eukaryotic small subunit ribosomal RNA", at positions 440 to 902 of the family's 1831-position model. The record is from RNAcentral. Lineage: Eukaryota; Apicomplexa; Aconoidasida; Piroplasmida; Babesiidae.
AUUACCCAAUACCGACACGGUGAGGUAGUGACAAGAAAUAACAAUACAGGGCGAAUGUCUUGUAAUUGGAAUGAUGGUGACCCAAACCCUCACCAGAGUAGCAAUUGGAGGGCAAGUCUGGUGCCAGCAGCCGCGGUAAUUCCAGCUCCAAUAGCGUAUAUUAAACUUGUUGCAGUUAAAAAGCUCGUAGUUGUAUUUUUGCGUUAGCGGUUUGACCAUUUGGUUGGUUAUUUCGUUUUCGCUUUUGGGAAUUUCCCUUUUUACUUUGAGAAAAUUAGAGCGUUUCAAGCAGACUUUUGUCUUGAAUACUUCAGCAUGGAAUAAUAGAGUAGGACUUUGGUUCUAUUUUGUUGGUUAUUGAACCUUAGUAAUGGUUAAUAGGAACGGUUGGGGGCAUUCGUAUUUAAA